AGCUAAUGUGAGGUGAGCGCUCUGGCGCAAAAUGGCUGCCGUGCAUCACCCAGGUGGGUGCUACACAUUGGUGGUGGGUGAGGACUCAUCUCACAGAGGCGGACGUGCGACUCACCCUCCGUCCCGAAAACCUCCCCGCAGUGGUUACAGAAGAAGUGCUCUGGGUGCCAGGUCUGGUCCAUCGCGGUCAGGAUGUUCUGCCGUACGAGCACAGGCGCGCAGUGAGCCGGGUGCGAGGUCAGAGGUCAAAAACACAUGUGAAAGGACUGUAACCCUUUUAGAUGCUGCGAUGGUGUCAGUGCACGAUGUCAGCGAUCCCCGAGCAUUUUCAAUGCAAAGGGUUUCUAAACAAAAACGGAGCCAUGACGAAGAAAUCCUCCCUGAAUGAAGAAAUUUGUAUUUUGGCGAAAGUGGAGGUCUCUUUAGCAUUGUGAAAUUUGUUCCGAUGUCUGAAGGGUUAAGGCGUGAUUAUCUGGUGGCCGACGAGGGAAAGGGCGAACAGAAAGGUGGAUGGCUGGAUUCAGAUCAGUGAAGGAGAGAGAACGGCGAGUUCAUAAACAUUUCUUCCCGUUUACUCUGCGAAAGCGAUCAGCGAUCGUUCUCCGCGGACCGUUUUCCAGGUGUCCUGCCCAACUGUGGACGCAAAUGUGGAAUUUUCGUUUCGUUUUUUUUUUUUUAGUGCCGAAUUUGUCCUGGUAUGCGAGAAAAAAAAACGGGAGCGGUCAGCUGCGCCGGGGCCUAAAUCGAUCGGAGAAGCGCGUAAACAGUCCUGACGCGCCGCAGCUGAUGCCGACGGCACCCGUCCAUUUUCGCGGGACUUUGUUUGCGUUGGGCCCAAACCCAGACUGAGUCUGGCCCGCGUGUGUAAACAGGCGCGCGUUCAUCCAAACACAAACACACGCCUGUGC
Molecule: long non-coding RNA, 908 nt
Organism: Anguilla rostrata (American eel)
Lineage: Eukaryota; Metazoa; Chordata; Actinopteri; Anguilliformes; Anguillidae
Exons: 2
Source: RefSeq, a predicted model, not a curated record